RNAcentral lists this ribosomal RNA (472 nucleotides) under uncultured eukaryote. RNAcentral describes it as "bacterial SSU rRNA". It matches the Rfam family "Eukaryotic small subunit ribosomal RNA", at positions 13 to 462 of the family's 1831-position model. The record is from RNAcentral.
CCUGACGGUAGUCGUAUGCUCGUCUCCGAGACUAAGCCAUGCAAGUCCAAGUACACGUCCUUGAACGACGGAAACUGCGAACGGCUCAUUAAAUCAGUUGCGAUCUACUCGGCGUUCCGCGCCGCCGGAUAACCGUAGUAAUUCUAGGGCUAAUACGUGCGAAGCGCCCGAAGCCGCGAGGCGACGGGCGUUCUCGCCGGAUGUAGGAACCGACCCGGGGACCGCCGGGGCAACCCGGCGCCCCCGAGACGGGGCGAACCACGGUGAAAUGACGGAUCGUCGGCCCCGCGCCGGCGACUCGCCGAAUGAGUUUCUGACCUAUCAACUCGAGACGGCGGGGUAGAGGCCCGCCGCGGUAACGACGGGUAACGGGGAAGUCAGGGUUCGAUUCCGGAGAGGGAGCCCGAGAAACGGCUACCACUUCCAAGGAAGGCAGCAGGCGCGCAACUUACCCUAAAUCUCGAUUCGAGGA